UGCAGCACCUGACUCUAAUCCAGUUUGCUGGUCCAGGGGAUUGAACCCAGGUUCUCUCACUUGCUAAGCACUGGCUCUAUCAUUCACCUACACCCCCGGUCUGGCUUCACAAAUUUAUAUAAAUUCCUUUUGAGAUAUGUUACUAGAAUGCCCUUGACAUUAUGGCCAAUAUACAGCGCUGAGAACUGACCCCAGAGCCUCAGGCAGACAAUAGAAGGAAAUGGAAGAUUGGCUCUGAAAGGUUAAUUUACUUCUCUAAAGUCACAGUGUUGGAGCGGCUAUACCAAGGUCUCAUUUCUAAUCCUUUCUAUGCUCCAUCAUUAAACUGCUGACAGAUUUCCUAGGACUUUUGUUUGAAGACAGUAAUAUUCUUUCAAACAUUUUUAUAUGGGAGGAAAAUAACCCUACAAUCAAUGACCUCUGUGCUUCCCUCUGUCACAAUAUUAACCAAAAAACAAGUGACAAACUAAUAAUUGGAUUGUCAGGGUUUUUGUCUUCAAGGGUUAGGAGACAAAUUUAGAGGAAAGGGGGGUAUUUUUUUUUUUUUUUUACUACCGGGGAUCAACUCGGGACCUUGCGCUUGCGAGGGAGGCGGCAGAACCGCUGAGCUAAAUCCCCGGCCCAUAAGGGGGGUAUUUUUGAGGAAACAAUACCAACCUAGACACGAGGCCAGGCUAAAUUCAGGGGGUACCAAGCUAACCUAUUGCCGAGAGAAGCAGAGUUUUAUUUUUUCUUCACCUCUGUGCUUUUCUUCACUGUUUCCAAGGAUUUUUCGAAGCUCGACAGUCAAGCGCUCACCGAGCCCACUGACACUAAAUGGCAGGGUAAUACUUUUUAAUCUGUCCCCCAACCCUUGACUCCUAUACGGCCUCUUCUUGCUUUGUCUCUUACAUGCUUUUCCCUUUGUC
This 908-nucleotide long non-coding RNA is filed under the name Heterocephalus glaber (naked mole-rat). Its description in RNAcentral is "lncRNA (ENSHGLG00100045731.1)". Lineage: Eukaryota; Metazoa; Chordata; Mammalia; Rodentia; Bathyergidae. The record is from RNAcentral.